RNAcentral lists this ribosomal RNA (468 nucleotides) under uncultured bacterium. Its description in RNAcentral is "partial 16S ribosomal RNA". It matches the Rfam family "Bacterial small subunit ribosomal RNA", at positions 28 to 507 of the family's 1533-position model. The record is from RNAcentral.
GAUGAACGCUGACAGAAUGCUUAACACAUGCAAGUCAACUUGAAUUUGGGUUUUUUCACUUAGAUUUGGGUGGCGGACGGGUGAGUAACGCGUAAAGAACUUGCCUCACAGCUAGGGACAACAUUUGGAAACGAAUGCUAAUACCUGAUAUUAUGAUUAUAAGGCAUCUUAGAAUUAUGAAAGCUAUAUGCGCUGUGAGAGAGCUUUGCGUCCCAUUAGCUAGUUGGAGAGGUAACGGCUCACCAAGGCGAUGAUGGGUAGCCGGCCUGGGAGGGUGAACGGCCACAAGGGGACUGAGGCACGGCCCGUACUCCUACGGGAGGCAGCAGUGGGGAAUAUUGGACAAUGGACCAAGAGUCUGAUCCAGCAAUUCUGUGUGCACGAUGACGUUUUUCGGAAUGUAAAGUGCUUUCAGUUGGGAAGAAAAAAAUGACGGUACCAACAGAAGAAGUGACGGCUAAAUACGUG